Long non-coding RNA from Macaca fascicularis (crab-eating macaque), 1667 nucleotides. Lineage: Eukaryota; Metazoa; Chordata; Mammalia; Primates; Cercopithecidae. The record is from Ensembl.
GUCCUCGGGAGGCUGAGGCAGGAGAAUGGCAUGAACCCGGGAGGCGGAGCUUGCAGUGAGCUGAGAUCUGGCCACUGCAUUCCAGCUGGGGUGACAGAGCGAGACUCCAUCUCAAACAAAAAACAAAAACAAAACAAAAAACUCAGGAUUCAGGAGAGAAAACUGGCAGGGAAAACAGGGUAGAUCUCAGAUCUGGAAGGACAACGAAUACUGCCGGGAGUUAGGUUCUUUUGAAGACCCUGAAAAACAUACAACCACAACUGUCAGGUGAUACUAUUUUUCAUCAUGUGGUCAUUACCACAUGGGGCGUGUGUGUGUAUCUCCAUGGUUACCUUCCCUUGCCAGAACUAUAAUGCUUUUUUUUCUACCAGACUCUUUCUCUAAGGACAGGAAAAGACUUCCUACUCUUUGGUGUUUACAACUAUACCAUAUUUCUUUGUGUUCUCUGCUACUGUGUUGCUCGGUCAACAUAUACACAAGGAUCUCUUCAUCUUUGCACAGUGCUGUUUGCUUAACCACUUAUAUUGCUACUCACAAAGCUUCCCUCCCCUUCAUUCUCACUGUUCUGUUCAGAAUCCAAAAGUAGAGAACUGAUUUCACCAUUGGUUCACAAUGACCUUGAGUGAGAUCCAUUGCUAAUUAGGAACAAUCAUAUCUGUUAAAAGCAUAUCUUUUGAACUCAAAAAACAACCACAACAGAAAUUUCAGCACCUAUUGUGAGCAAUGCACUGUGGGAAUACAAGAAAGUUCCAGCUUCGAAAGAGCACUAAACUUUAGCACCAUUAUCUGGAUUCUAAUCCUAGAUCUGCCACUAACAGAUUUUGUUAGCUUGGGCAAGUCGGCCUCCUUGGCCUAAGUUUCUUCUCUGAAGAGUAGCUGGGCACAUUGCAACCACGUGCUUCAGCUGGCACAGGAUCCACAGUUUUAUCAGUGAGAGUUCUGUGCCAUGCGAAACUUCUCAGUACCAGGUAAGCCACAUGGUCAGACCCUCCAUUGGACAGGCUAUCUGAGAUCCUUUCUGGCUCUGAUUCUUUUGGGUCUAAGCUUCAGGUUCCUCUCAAGGCAUGCUGUGUAUGCUCUCAGAGAGUGUGGACUGAGUCACGGGGAGGGAGUGGAGUGGCUGUAUGCAAAGAAGCUGGAGGCAUCCUGCCUCCUGACCUGUGACUCACAUGGGAUGCUGCAGGACAUCAUUCCUAACAUCUCACAGGAAGAGAUCAGCUGAGAAUGGUACAUUCAGGCAAGAGACAUUCUUGGGUUUCCCAGUGGAAAAGAAAUUUAAAAACAAUUGACUAAUGAGAGGAAUGUGUAGCAAAUGUUGAAGCUGCAGCAUUCUUGCAAGUGAGCCAAUGACCUUUUAAGCUACAUCUACAACUGACUAGUUUCUUGGCCAUCAUCCCAAUGAAGGCUCCUUUCCCAGUUUAGACUGUAUCGAGAUCUGGCUUGGCAGUAAGACUUUUAGCAUCCUCAGAUACAGAUUUAUUUCAGCAUGAAAUCACAUUAAAUCAGCUUUCUAAUAACGGCCUUAAAAACAAAAAAGAUGGCUGGGCAUGGUGGGUGGCUCAUGCCUGUAAUCCCAGCACUUUGGGAGGCUGAAGCAGGUGGAUCACCUGAGGUCAGGAGUUCCAGACCAGCCUAAAACACCACCUCUACUAAAAAAAAAAAAAAAA